GGCAGACGGGUGUAGUAACACGUGGGAACGUGCCCUUUGGUUCGGAACAACUCCGGGAAACUGGAGCUAAUACCGGAUAAGCCCUUCGGGGGAAAGAUUUAUCGCCAAAGGAUCGGCCCGCGUCUGAUUAGCUAGUUGGUGAGGUAAUGGCUCACCAAGGCGACGAUCAGUAGCUGGUCUGAGAGGAUGAUCUAGCCACACUGGGACUGAGACACGGCCCAGACUCCUACGGGAGGCAGCAGUGGGGAAUAUUGGACAAUGGGCGCAAGCCUGAUCCAGCCAUGCCGCGUGAGUGAUGAAGGCCCUAGGGUUGUAAAGCUCUUUUGUCCGGGAAGAUAAUGACUGUACCGGAAGAAUAAGCCCCGGCUAACUACGUGCC
RNAcentral lists this ribosomal RNA (379 nucleotides) under uncultured bacterium. RNAcentral describes it as "bacterial SSU rRNA". It matches the Rfam family "Bacterial small subunit ribosomal RNA", at positions 97 to 509 of the family's 1533-position model. The record is from RNAcentral.